CCCAGACCUCUCCACUCCAUCCCAGAGCCGCCGGCACGCCGCUGGCAAGGGGAGGGCCAGGAUUCCCUCGAGGGACUUGGAUUAGUGGAAUACCUUGAUGGUGCUUUCCAGCUCUUAAUCUACAGCCCUAUAUACUCCAGUCUAUCAUGAUGUCCUCUUUGCUUUGGGCCGCUUAAGCACUAUAUUUAUUUUUGAGAUUGAAGUAGGGUUGGGAAGAAAAAUGUUCAAAUGGCAAAUUACUGCCCAUAGAUGAUUGCUCCAGCUUUGAGACAGCAGGAUUAACUCCAUAAGAAUUUUGGAGGUCUAUCACUUUGCAGUGCUGAAGAAGCCUGUCGACACCUCUCCUGGCUGUUCUCUGACUGACUGUAGCUGUGAAAGAGGAACAGCUGUGAAGCCCUGGCUAGAGGAAGGGGCAGUGGAGAUCUAACCUUGGCUAGCUAAUCUUCCUACCCUUCUGCCAAGUGUUCCUGAGCACAUGGACUCUAUUUCUGUGAAUCGAGGGUGCUUGGCAGGCUUUAAAUCAGGAUCAUUCUCUCCCGGGCCAUCCAUCACCUAUGACCAAGAUGAAAACUCACGUAAACUUGGAAAACAUGCAAAGUCAAGAGUGAAUUAUCAGGUGCCUUUAGGAAUUAUGAAUGAGGUGGGGAAACUGAGGCCUAGACCUGCCAAAAGGACUUGCUAAGGUCACACCAUCUGGGGUGGAGGAAGGAAUGUAACACAGUGCAGGUCACCUGACUCUGUCCAGUUCUUUCACUUGUACCACAUUGUCUUUUCCAAGAAAAUAAAGAUUCCUCCUGUAACCCCAAUAAAUAUGUAAAGAUGGCCAUGAUAUAUGAUAUACUUAUCAGAAAGAAAAGCUUAUAUUUAAAAAAAGUUAAAUAUUGAUACAGUAAUAGAAUCUGUUAAGCCCAGGGGUCUUUGGGUCACGGCUCAUUAAAAGCAUUAACAAAGAUUAUUCCAGGCCAUCUUACCUCCUGAACAAAAGUAUGGUCCUAAACCUACUUAUUCCUUCAUGCCUCAUUCAUGUCAUUCAACGAAUAUUUGUGUAGUACUUCUUGUGCACAAGUCAUAUGACAGUAUCUUUUAUAUCUAACUCCCAUGAUCUCAAACAAACAAUAAAUAAUAUGAAACAGAAAGCAAGUUGGGCAA
Phascolarctos cinereus (koala) is the source of this 1149-nucleotide non-coding RNA. The record is from RefSeq and is a predicted model, not a curated record. Lineage: Eukaryota; Metazoa; Chordata; Mammalia; Diprotodontia; Phascolarctidae.